RNAcentral lists this ribosomal RNA (460 nucleotides) under uncultured bacterium. RNAcentral describes it as "partial 16S ribosomal RNA". It matches the Rfam family "Bacterial small subunit ribosomal RNA", at positions 338 to 795 of the family's 1533-position model. The record is from RNAcentral.
CCUACGGGCGGCAGCAGUGAGGAAUAUUGGUCAAUGGGCGCGAGCCUGAACCAGCCAAGUCGCGUGAAGGAUGACUGCCCUCAGGGUUGUAAACUUCUUUUGUCAAGGAAUAAAGUGAGGCACGUGUGCCCUUUUGUAUGUACUUUACGAAUAAGGAUCGGCUAACUCCGUGCCAGCAGCCGCGGUAAUACGGAGGAUUCGAUCGUUAUCCGGAUUUAUUGGGUUUAAAGGGAGCGGAGAUGGGUUGUUAAGUCAGUUGUGAAAGUUUGCGGCUCAACCGUAAAAUUGCAAUUGAUACUGGCAGUCUUGAGUUCAGUAGAGGUAGGCAGAAUUCGUGGUGUAGCGGUGAAAUGCGUAGAUAUCACGAAGAACUCCGAUUGCGAAGGCAGCUUACUAAACUGCCACUGACAUUGAUGCUCGAAAGUGUGGGUAUCAAACAGGAUUAGAUACCCCAGUAGUC